AUGAGAUGUUGCUUCAGCUUAUUGAACAGCCAGAUUGCUGCUUCCUUUCCUGAACAUGAGAAAAAGAAUUCUGGUUUAAAACAUAACGUGCUGACAGCAGCUGAAAUCUCUCCAAUGACCUAUCUAGUCUGGACUAUCCGGUGUAUCUUCUGCAUAAUUAUCUAUACUGGGAUCUUCUGGGAACAGGAACUCAAUUACACAGCAGGAUUUGGCCCUUAUUUGCCUGAAAUUGACAGGAAAAUGAACAUCUGAUGAAGACUGAAUCACUUUAAAUGCGUAGAAAAAAAAUAGAUUCUUUCUACGGACAAGGUGGAAAUAGCGAGCCCUGCUGCAGAACAUCUUUGUAAGCCAAGAAGUUUGCAGUAUGUUUCGAUAUGACCUCCCAUUCCCCCUUGUUAUCUUCCACUUACUAACCGUGAUCUAACUGUUAUUGAUAGAGCCAUUAUUCUGCUUGGGACAGCAAUGAUGGUCUCACUGACCUUGCCCUGGGUAAUCAGAAACUCAUUUAAUCCUUAGCAUACCCUUCGUGAAAGUACACUGAAGGAAAAGCAUAUUCAGGUCAAGAAGCAGGUAUAUGUUUCUAUGAGGAUUUCUUCUAACAUGACUAAUUAUCUCAAGAGAUGCAUUGUACUCCACCAAAUAUGUUGCAAAUUUGCCUAAAUGUCUCUUUAGUCUUAGAGAUCAAAGCUGUUAUAAGAACAAGAGAAUAAAAAUCUCUAAUACUUGAUACUGCA
This 734-nucleotide long non-coding RNA is filed under the name Struthio camelus australis. RNAcentral describes it as "lncRNA (ENSSCUG00000007388.1)". The record is from RNAcentral. Lineage: Eukaryota; Metazoa; Chordata; Aves; Struthioniformes; Struthionidae.